This 1444-nucleotide ribosomal RNA is filed under the name uncultured organism. RNAcentral describes it as "SSU rRNA". It matches the Rfam family "Bacterial small subunit ribosomal RNA". The record is from RNAcentral.
AGCUACAGGCUUAACACAUGCAAGUCGAGGGGCAGCAUGGUCUUAGCUUGCUAAGGCCGAUGGCGACCGGCGCACGGGUGAGUAACACGUAUCCAACCUGCCGUCUACUCUUGGACAGCCUUCUGAAAGGAAGAUUAAUACAAGAUGGCAUCAUGAGUCCGCAUGUUCACAUGAUUAAAGGUAUUCCGGUAGACGAUGGGGAUGCGUUCCAUUAGAUAGUAGGCGGGGUAACGGCCCACCUAGUCUUCGAUGGAUAGGGGUUCUGAGAGGAAGGUCCCCCACAUUGGAACUGAGACACGGUCCAAACUCCUACGGGAGGCAGCAGUGAGGAAUAUUGGUCAAUGGGCGAGAGCCUGAACCAGCCAAGUAGCGUGAAGGAUGACUGCCCUAUGGGUUGUAAACUUCUUUUAUAAAGGAAUAAAGUCGGGUAUGGAUACCCGUUUGCAUGUACUUUAUGAAUAAGGAUCGGCUAACUCCGUGCCAGCAGCCGCGGUAAUACGGAGGAUCCGAGCGUUAUCCGGAUUUAUUGGGUUUAAAGGGAGCGUAGAUGGAUGUUUAAGUCAGUUGUGAAAGUUUGCGGCUCAACCGUAAAAUUGCAGUUGAUACUGGAUAUCUUGAGUGCAGUUGAGGCAGGCGGAAUUCGUGGUGUAGCGGUGAAAUGCUUAGAUAUCACGAAGAACUCCGAUUGCGAAGGCAGCCUGCUAAGCUGCAACUGACAUUGAGGCUCGAAAGUGUGGGUAUCAAACAGGAUUAGAUACCCUGGUAGUCCACACGGUAAACGAUGAAUACUCGCUGUUUGCGAUAUACAGCAAGCGGCCAAGCGAAAGCGUUAAGUAUUCCACCUGGGGAGUACGCCGGCAACGGUGAAACUCAAAGGAAUUGACGGGGGCCCGCACAAGCGGAGGAACAUGUGGUUUAAUUCGAUGAUACGCGAGGAACCUUACCCGGGCUUAAAUUGCAGAUGAAUUACGGUGAAAGCCGUAAGCCGCAAGGCAUCUGUGAAGGUGCUGCAUGGUUGUCGUCAGCUCGUGCCGUGAGGUGUCGGCUCAAGUGCCAUAACGAGCGCAACCCUUGUCGUCAGUUACUAACAGGUUCCGCUGAGGACUCUGACAAGACUGCCAUCGUAAGAUGUGAGGAAGGUGGGGAUGACGUCAAAUCAGCACGGCCCUUACGUCCGGGGCUACACACGUGUUACAAUGGGGGGUACAGAGGGCCGCUACCACGCGAGUGGAUGCCAAUCCCCAAAACCUCUCUCAGUUCGGACUGGAGUCUGCAACCCGACUCCACGAAGCUGGAUUCGCUAGUAAUCGCGCAUCAGCCACGGCGCGGUGAAUACGUUCCCGGGCCUUGUACACACCGCCCGUCAAGCCAUGGGAGCCGGGGGUACCUGAAGUGCGUAACCGCGAGGAGCGCCCUAGGGUAAAACUGGUGACUGGGGCUAAGU